Molecule: transfer RNA, 49 nt
Filed under: Mesotoga sp.
Lineage: Bacteria; Thermotogati; Thermotogota; Thermotogae; Kosmotogales; Kosmotogaceae
Description: tRNA-Met
Source: RNAcentral
UGCGGGGUGGAGCAGUUUGGUAGCUCGUUGGGCUCAUAACCCAAAGGUC